This is a non-coding RNA of Paramormyrops kingsleyae, 1217 nucleotides long. NCBI's taxonomy places the organism in Eukaryota, Metazoa, Chordata, Actinopteri, Osteoglossiformes, Mormyridae. The record is from RefSeq and is a predicted model, not a curated record.
AGGUCCCCUUAGCAGGGAUGAAAGUGUGUUUCCACAUCCAGAGUCACUUUUUAAUAAAGUGCUGUUACUGAAAAGCUAAUCAUGGAAAGAUCUUAAGUAACUUCCAGCUUCAUUACUGUUUAUCCAGAACAGAGUCGUGGUAAAACUACAGGAAACAAACACAGACCUACAGAGAAAACAUCCACAGCCACAGAAACUUCACAGAAGACACCAACUCACACUGGUUCCCAUACUAACCUCAUAAACACAGGGACAGUCUGUACUACAGCAGACAGUCCUGAAGACAACAAUGGUCAUACAGAAACUACACUGAAGACACCAACUCAUACUGGUUCCCAUACUAACCAUACAAAUCACACAACUGUAGUUGCACCAACUAACGCAGGACUCCUGCCAGGUAUCGGGGCUGCAGCUGCUGUGUUUGGAGCUGUGUGUCUGGCUGUCGUCGUCAUGGUGACGUACAGGAGGAGGGCAGAUGGUUCUUCACCUCCCCGUAUGUCAGAGAAUCACAUGACAUCCAAUCCGAAGACGACAGAGGACGAAGUCACCUACUCCAUGGUCAAUCAUCCGGCACCGAAAAAGAGAGAGAGAGCAAAUUCUGACAACUUUACAGAAUACGCCACCGUCAGAACUGGGGCCUAAUCCUCUCAGUAUCAGAACUUUUACAUGAAAUAUGUACAUAUAUACACACUCUUAAUAGCCGCUAUUAUCACCGUUGCAAAUAUACACUCCUUUAUUAGGUUACUUUUUGACACUCUGUAUGGCUCUUGCUCCAGUGCUAACUUGCUCUUGCCACUGGGCAUUAACUGGAAGCUCAGCCCAGCUGCACUUAUGCCCAGUUGGCUCCUUUACAGCUGCAUGCUUGUGCAGUGCCGGUCAGUCCUACAGGCGACAUAGGCGACCGCCUAGGGGGGGUAACUUCUGAAGGGGCGUCAGCUUCCCCUGCAGUUUGACUUUGCCUCAGAUGGGGGGGCGACAGCGGUGAUGCUUGCCUAGGGCACCACACAGGCUUGGACUGGUACUGCGCUUGUGAUUUACUCUCUGCCUCACUUGUGCGUCACUUUGGACAAAAGUCCAAACGAACAUGAAUGUGAGUUUUAAUUAAAAACCUUCUAAUUGGCUCUGGUCCGUCUCCAACAGCCCACAAUAUACCAUGGAGAAAACGGUUUGCAUUUAAUGAAAUAUUUUAUUAUAUGUGAUUAUGUGAAACCGGCAUA